This 520-nucleotide ribosomal RNA is filed under the name Entoloma violaceovillosum. RNAcentral describes it as "partial small subunit ribosomal RNA". It matches the Rfam family "Bacterial small subunit ribosomal RNA", at positions 361 to 946 of the family's 1533-position model. The record is from RNAcentral. Lineage: Eukaryota; Fungi; Basidiomycota; Agaricomycetes; Agaricales; Entolomataceae.
AUAUUAGUCAAUGCUCGUAAGAGUGAACUAGCUAACUGAAAUCACAGGAACCAUUUAUAUGGUGAAUGUAAUAACGUAAGGGAAAAAAAUGAUAUUACCUUACUAUUAGUGUUGUCCAAAACUGGUGCCAGAAGACUCGGUAAGGCCAGAGACGCAAACGUUAGUCGUCCUAAUCAGGCGUAAAGGGUAUGUAGGCUGCUUUAAAUAAGCUAGGAUCAAAUUGAGGAUAAUUAAAAUAAUACUUAGUGUAGGGUUAAAAUCUGGUGAUACUAGGGGGAGUACUAACGGUGAAAACUUUUAUCUAGAAAUGAUUGACGCUGAGAAACGAAGGUGAGAAUAGGAAAUAGGAUUAGAUACCCAGAUACCUCUCACAGUAAACGAUGAAUGGUGGUUGUUAGUUAGUUUUAUUUAACUGAUGACGAUGUUAACACGAUAACCAUUCCGCCUUGCGAGUACGGUUGCAAAACUGAAACCAAAAAAAUUAGUCGGUCUCGAAGCAAACGAAGUGAAGCAUGUUAUU